AAUGAACGCUGGCGGCAUGCCUUACACAUGCAAGUCGAACGGCAGCAUGACCUCGCUUGCUAGGUUGAUGGCGAGUGGCGAACGGGUGAGUAAUGCAUCGGAACGUGCCUUUUAGUGGGGGAUAACGUAGCGAAAGUUACGCUAAUACCGCAUAUUCUCUGAGGAGGAAAGCAGGGGACCUUCGGGCCUUGCGCUAGAAGAGCGGCCGAUGUCGGAUUAGCUAGUUGGUGAGGUAAAGGCUCACCAAGGCAACGAUCCGUAGCGGGUCUGAGAGGAUGAUCCCCCACACUGGGAGUGAGAACCGGCCCAGACCCCCACGGGAGGCAGCGGUGGGGAAUUUGGGAAAAGGGGCGCAAGCCUGACCCAGCCAUGCCGCGUGAGUGAAAAAGGCCUUCGGGUUGUAAAGCUCUUGCGGCUGGGAAGAAAUCGCCCCCUCUAAUACAGGGUGGGGAUGACGGUCCCAGCAUAAGAAGCACCGGCUAACUACGU
This 489-nucleotide ribosomal RNA is filed under the name uncultured bacterium. RNAcentral describes it as "partial 16S ribosomal RNA". It matches the Rfam family "Bacterial small subunit ribosomal RNA", at positions 29 to 506 of the family's 1533-position model. The record is from RNAcentral.